Molecule: ribosomal RNA, 468 nt
Filed under: uncultured Leptolinea sp.
Lineage: Bacteria; Bacillati; Chloroflexota; Anaerolineae; Anaerolineales; Anaerolineaceae
Description: bacterial SSU rRNA
Rfam family: Bacterial small subunit ribosomal RNA
Source: RNAcentral
UUAAAAGGAAGUUCGACGGGGGCCCGCACAAGCGGUGAGCAUGUGGUUAAUCGAUGCAACGCGAAGAACCUUACCUGGGCUUGACAUCCCGGGAAUCCCCUGGAAACAGGGGAGUGCCCUUCGGGGAGCUUGCACAGGUGCUGCAUGGCUGUCGUCAGCUCGUGUCGUGAGAUGUUCGGUUAAGUCCGCUAACGAGCGCAACCCUCGCUGUGUGUUAUAUGUGUCACACGGGACUGCCGGUCUUAAAGCCGGAGGAAGGUGGGGAUGAUGUCAAGUCAGCAUGGCCUUUAUAUCCUGGGCUACACACACGCUACAAUGGCCAACACAAUAGGUUGCUAAGCCGCGAGGUGGCGCCAAUCCAUAAAGUUGGUCUCAGUUCAGAUUGUAGGCUGCAACCCGCCUGCAUGAAGAUGGAGUUGCUAGUAACCGCAGGUCAGCUAUACUGCGGUGAAUACGUUCCCGGGGCUU